CCUACGGGGGGCUGCAGUGGGGAAUAUUGGACAAUGGGGGCAACCCUGAUCCAGCCAUGCCGCGUGUGUGAAGAAGGCCCUCGGGUUGUAAAGCACUUUCAGUGAGGAAGAACGCCUGGUGGUUAAUACCCAUCAGGAAAGACAUCACUCACAGAAGAAGCACCGGCUAACUCCGUGCCAGCAGCCGCGGUAAUACGGAGGGUGCGAGCGUUAAUCGGAAUUACUGGGCGUAAAGCGCGCGUAGGUGGCUUGAUAAGCCGGUUGUGAAAGCCCCGGGCUCAACCUGGGAACGGCAUCCGGAACUGUCAAGCUAGAGUGCAGGAGAGGAAGGUAGAAUUCCCGGUGUAGCGGUGAAAUGCGGAGAGAUCGGGAGGAAUACCAGUGGCGAAGGCGGCCUUCUGGACUGACACUGACACUGAGGUGCGAAAGCGUGGGUAGCAAACAGGAUUAGAUACCCCGGUAGUC
This 465-nucleotide ribosomal RNA is filed under the name Vreelandella stevensii. RNAcentral describes it as "partial 16S ribosomal RNA". It matches the Rfam family "Bacterial small subunit ribosomal RNA", at positions 338 to 795 of the family's 1533-position model. The record is from RNAcentral. Lineage: Bacteria; Pseudomonadati; Pseudomonadota; Gammaproteobacteria; Oceanospirillales; Halomonadaceae.